GAUUGAUUAAGUGUUAAGAGCAUGUAAAAGGUGUUUCACGAAUUGAAGUUUUCUUGUGGUAUGAUUGAUUAAGUGUUUAGAGCAUGUAAAAGGUAUUUCACGAAUUGAAGUUUUCUUGUGGUAUGAUUAAUUAAGUGUUUAGAGCAUGUAAAAGGUGUUUCACGAAUUGAAGUUUUGCAAAACAGGAUGUUGUUUUAUAACAUAUAGCAAAAACAAAGUGAAUGAAGUUUCAACAGAAAAUUUAAACCUGGGGAAACGGAAAGUAAGAUUUGUGUCGUUUAUGAUUAAUAUGAAAUGAUGUCCUGUUUAUAUUCAUUCGUCACCAUUGCCAGUAGAUGUUUUUGUUUCUAUUAAAUAUUGUAACGAAAACAAUUCAUUGUCUUAUGUUAUCUGUGACUAUAAAUGUUAGCUAUGACUAUGAGAA
Lytechinus pictus (painted urchin) is the source of this 424-nucleotide long non-coding RNA. RefSeq lists it as uncharacterized. NCBI's taxonomy places the organism in Eukaryota, Metazoa, Echinodermata, Echinoidea, Temnopleuroida, Toxopneustidae. The record is from RefSeq and is a predicted model, not a curated record. The transcript has 2 exons.